Molecule: ribosomal RNA, 852 nt
Filed under: uncultured archaeon
Lineage: Archaea
Description: bacterial SSU rRNA
Rfam family: Archaeal small subunit ribosomal RNA
Source: RNAcentral
CCCGACUGCUAUUUGGGUGAGAAUAAGCCAUGCAAGUUGAAUGGAAUGCCAAAAUAUUCCAUGGCAAACUGCUCAAUAACACGUGAUCAACUUACCCUAUGGAAAACAAUAACCUCCGGAAACGGAGGAUAAUGGUUUAUAGUUGAAAAGGCUUGGAAAAGUUUUUCAAUAAAAGGGAAUAAUAAAAAUGGUUAUUAUUUUGCCAUAGGAUAGGAUUGCGGUCGAUUAUGGCUGUUGGUGAGGUAAUGGCUCACCAAACCAAUAAUCGAUAGGGGCCGUGAGAGCGGGAGCCCCGAGAUGGGUACUGAGACAACGACCCAGGCCUUACGAGGCGCAGCAGGCGCGAAAACUCCGCAAUACACGAAAGUGUGACGGGGUUACCCAAAGUGCUUAAUAUUUAAGCUGUGGUAAGUGUGUAAUGUACCUUACUAGAAAGGAGAGGGCAAGGCUGGUGCCAGCCGCCGCGGUAAAACCAGCUCUUCAAGUGGUCGGGAUAUUUAUUGGGCUUAAAGUGUCCGUAGCUUGUAUAAUAAGUUCCUGGUAAAAUCUAAUAGCUUAACUAUUAGUAUGCUAGGAAUACUGUUAUACUAGAGGGCGGGAGAGGUUUGAGGUACUUCAGGGGUAGGGGUGAAAUCCUAUAAUCCUUGAAGGACCACCAGUGGCGAAGGCGUCAGACUGGAACGCGCCUGACGGUGAGGGACGAAAGCCAGGGGAGCGAACCGGAUUAGAUACCCGGGUAGUCCUGGCCGUAAACGAUGCACACUAGGUGUUGGUAUGGCUAUGAGCCAUAUCAGUGCCGAAGGGAAACCAUUAAGUGUGCCGCCUGGGAAGUACGGUCGCAAGGCUAAAACU